Molecule: ribosomal RNA, 419 nt
Filed under: uncultured Hydrotalea sp.
Lineage: Bacteria; Pseudomonadati; Bacteroidota; Chitinophagia; Chitinophagales; Chitinophagaceae
Description: bacterial SSU rRNA
Rfam family: Bacterial small subunit ribosomal RNA
Source: RNAcentral
GGAAUAUUGGACAAUGGACGCAAGUCUGAUCCAGCCAUGCCGCGUGAAGGAUGAAUGCCCUCUGGGUUGUAAACUUCUUUUAUAGGGGAAGAAAGUUAUCUUUUUUAGGAUAUUUGACGGUACCCUGUGAAUAAGCACCGGCUAACUCCGUGCCAGCAGCCGCGGUAAUACGGAGGGUGCAAGCGUUAUCCGGAUUCACUGGGUUUAAAGGGUGCGUAGGCGGGUAUGUAAGUCAGUGGUGAAAUACCGGAGCUUAACUUCGGAACUGCCAUUGAUACUAUAUAUCUUGAAUAUUGUGGAGGUAAGCGGAAUAUGUCAUGUAGCGGUGAAAUGCUUAGAGAUGACAUAGAACACCGAUUGCGAAGGCAGCUUGCUACGCAAAUAUUGACGCUGAGGCACGAAAGCGUGGGGAUCAAACA